Molecule: ribosomal RNA, 253 nt
Filed under: uncultured bacterium
Lineage: Bacteria
Description: partial 16S ribosomal RNA
Rfam family: Bacterial small subunit ribosomal RNA
Source: RNAcentral
UACAGAGGGUGCGAGCGUUGUCCGGAAUCACUGGGCGUAAAGGGCGCGUAGGUGGUUGGGGAAGCGUGUGGUGAAAGCCCGGGGCUCAACCCCGGGUCGGCCAUGCGAACUGCCCGACUGGAGCACGGUAGAGGCCAAUGGAAUUCCGGGUGUAGCGGUGGAAUGCGUAGAGAUCCGGAAGAACACCGGUGGCGAAGGCGGUUGGCUGGGCCGUGGCUGACACUGAGGCGCGACAGCGUGGGGAGCAAACAGG